CAGAAAAACAAUGUGCUACUUUUCAAUUUAAUUCAUGGCUACACAAAUUUGCGUUGCCAUGAACAAAAUCUUGCCUUACACUGGACAAAGGAAGAACGCAUCCACAACAAGAGACAUCGCCUGGCUUCAGUCCCCCGCUGGACCAAGACGCCGGCUCCAGUGGCUUCGUCCCUACCGCACCGACGAAUCACACCUCCGCGUUUAAUCCUGCCGCCACCAAUGGCGAUGGCAUUUGCUUCCCCUGGCCUCGGCCCCGCGCUAGACCAGGACACCAGAACCACCAGUUUCGCAGCCGCUCGGCGACGGGGUCGCUGCCCGCACGGAGACGCGCGUAGGCACCCGAGGCCGCGGCUCCUGGACCAUCCUCCGUGGUGACGCCCCUGGCGCCCGACGCGGCCACCACAUCUAACGCGGAGUGACUUCGUCCAUGGACUCGCCUGUCGAGGGAAUUGUCGCGGCUUCCGGUCGGCGACGCCUGAAGUGGGCACGCCGCAGCGGCUUGUCCCUCCGGCAUCGGUGACUUGCUCCAUGCGCGUCAGCAAAGCAAGGCAAGGUGAGGCGGUGCAGUCUGGCGUGGCUCCUUCGGGCGCGCACGCUGCGGUGUCCUUCGGCCUCGGCAACAGGGGUCGGGGGAGCGGUUGCUCCAAGGGAGACGAAACCGUCUCCUCCUCCUGCCUUAUCCACUCCAGGUGGUGGUUGGCUGGGCCGCCUGUAAGGCCGCAUGGGCCAGCAGGCCCAUGUGUUUUCGGUCCAUUUUAAAUCCUGGACGAUUUUACC
Molecule: ribosomal RNA, 777 nt
Filed under: Triticum aestivum (bread wheat)
Lineage: Eukaryota; Viridiplantae; Streptophyta; Magnoliopsida; Poales; Poaceae
Description: partial small subunit ribosomal RNA
Source: RNAcentral